UCCAAUAUCUCCUAAAGAAAAUGGAAGAGAAUCCAUCAGAACCAGGGGCCUUAUCCUCCGUCAUAGCACAAAAGGCUUUAUAGAUCUUAUCCACCAACACCAACCUGGUUAGCAACUCAUAGUCCUGCAAAAGAACUUGAUCAGUGGGAGACGGAAUAACGGAAGACUCACCUCCACCAAGCCUCUCGGUUCAGCACACUAAGAA
This 205-nucleotide long non-coding RNA is filed under the name Elaeis guineensis (African oil palm). Its description in RNAcentral is "long non-coding RNA (EGUI_LNC023896)". Lineage: Eukaryota; Viridiplantae; Streptophyta; Magnoliopsida; Arecales; Arecaceae. The record is from RNAcentral.